ACUUGGUCUUUGGGUGGCGCAGCUAACGCAUUAAGUUAUCCCGCCGGGGGAGUACGACCCGCAAGGUUAAAACUCAAAGGAAUUGACGGGGGCCUGCACAAGCGGUGGAGCAUGUGGUUUAAUUUGAAGCAACGCGCAGAGCCUUACCAGCGUUUGACAUGUCCGGACGAUUUCCAGAGAUGGAUUUCUUCCCUUCGGGGACUGGAGCACAGGUGCUGCAUGGCUGUCGUCAGCUCGUGUCGUGAGAUGUUGGGUUAAGUCCCGCAACGAGCGCAACCCUCGCCUUUAGUUACCAUCAUUUAGUUGGGUACUUUAAAGGAACCGCCGGUGAUAAGCCGGAGGAAGGUGGGGAUGACGUCAAGUCCUCAUGUCCCUUACGCUCUGGGCUACACGCGUGCUACAAUGGCGGUGACAGUGGGCUGCAAUCCCGCGAGGGUGAGCUAAUCUCCAAAAGCCGUCUCAGUUCGGAUCGUUAUCUGCAACUCGAGAGCGAGAAGGCGGAAUCGUUAGUAAUCGCGGAUCAGCAUCACCCGCGAAUUAA
This 541-nucleotide ribosomal RNA is filed under the name Sphingomonas sp. TB44. RNAcentral describes it as "bacterial SSU rRNA". It matches the Rfam family "Bacterial small subunit ribosomal RNA", at positions 830 to 1369 of the family's 1533-position model. Lineage: Bacteria; Pseudomonadati; Pseudomonadota; Alphaproteobacteria; Sphingomonadales; Sphingomonadaceae. The record is from RNAcentral.